Mauremys reevesii (Reeves's turtle) is the source of this 5950-nucleotide RNA transcript. It is a transcript of the gene named SR-related CTD associated factor 8, with no coding region annotated. The record is from RefSeq and is a predicted model, not a curated record. The transcript is spliced from 22 exons. Lineage: Eukaryota; Metazoa; Chordata; Testudines; Geoemydidae.
CCCUUUACCCCCCGCUUUCCCAUCACAGCCGCGGGGCUGCAGAGCGAGCUCCCCGGGCAGUAACAUGAGAUGACGGACCCUCUUCUUUCUGCCCGCUGCCGGCAGUACUCAGCCUCCGCCUGCAGGAGGCGCAGGCCCCCAAGGGAGCAGGCGCUUGUGCCAGAGCGACGUUCUGGCCGCCACCUCUAUGGUCCCUGCUGUGCGAGGGCCGGGCUGGUGCGCGCGCGACCGCCAGGGGCCGCUCUGGCCGCCGCCGUCUCCGCUGCUCUCGGCUCCCCCGAGCUGCGCUGCCUGGAGCCCGGGUGUCCGCCAUAUUGGUGUCCGCGCUGCCUGCCUGUGCAGCUGCUGCGCCGUGUCCCUCCAUCUCGUCCCGGCCAGGCCGGGCCCGCGAAGCCGGCGCCGCAGGGCGGGAAGCGGGGCGAGGAGGCCGAGCGGGGCAGGGAGGAGACGGAAACGAGCGGGCCACGGGUCCCGCGCCCCCUGCGCCACCCGCCAUGGCGAGGAGGCCCGGCGGACCCUGAGAGAGGCCAGCCCCCUCCCCGGCCCAGCCCAGCCGCCAUCAGCGGAGACGAGCCGCCGGGCCCCCGCCUCUGCCUCAACAUGGAGGCCGUGAAAGCCUUUAACAGCGAGUUGUACUCGCUAAAUGAAUACAAACCACCUAUUUCUAAGGCUAAAAUGACACAGAUCACCAAGGCAGCAAUCAAGGCUAUAAAGUUCUACAAACAUGUUGUACAGAGCGUUGAGAAAUUCAUUCAAAAGUGCAAACCGGAAUACAAGGUGCCUGGUCUCUAUGUCAUUGACUCUAUUGUGCGACAGUCCCGGCAUCAGUUUGGGCAAGAGAAGGAUGUGUUUGCUCCUAGAUUCAGCAAUAAUAUCAUCAGCACUUUCCAGAAUUUAUACCGUUGUCCUGGGGAUGACAAGAGUAAAAUUGUUAGAGUGCUAAAUUUGUGGCAGAAGAAUAAUGUGUUCAAGAGUGAAAUUAUUCAGCCUCUCCUGGAUAUGGCAGCAGGAAUUCCUCCUCCAGUUGUGACUCCAGUCUUGCCCAGUACAACAGCUGCUAUGAGCAACAAUACACCAGGAACUCCUGUGACCCCUGUUACUCCAGCCAAUGUGGUACAAAGUUUACCUGAUCCUUGGGUGUCUCAAAUUGCUAAUACAGAUACACUUGCUGCUGUUGCACAAAUCUUACAGAGUCCCCAAGGCCAACAGCUUCAGCAGUUAAUACAGACACUGCAAAUACAACAACAGAAGCCACAGCCUUCACUACUUCAGGCACUGGAUGCUGGCCUUGUCGUUCAGUUACAGGCUCUCACAGCACAACUUACAGCUGCAGCUGCUGCUGCCAACACACUCAAUCCACUGGAACAGAAUGUCUCUUUUAACAAGAAGCUGAUGGACAGGUUUGAUUUUGGGGAAGAGCCUGACCUCAGUGAAGAGCCUAAAAAGGAAACUCCCACUUCCCAACUGCCUCUAGUAUCAGAGUCUGUGAACAACUCACUUUUUCAUCAGCUAGCUGAACAACUGCAACAACAAAAUUUAGAACAUCUCCGACAGCAGCUCCUGGAGCAACAGCAGCCUCAAAAGGCAAGCCCUGAGGAAAAUCAAGAGGGAAAUUUUGGAUCAGAGCACUCUGCAUCACCAUCACAAGGGAGUAGCCAACAGCAGUUUUUAGAAGUGGAAACAAACCUAGAUGAUUCAAUGGAUAUUCAACAGCAGGACAUGGAUAUAGAUGAAGGACAAGAUGUAGUUGAGGAAGAGAUCUUUGAACAAGAAGAAAAGAAAUCAGCUGUUCGUUCAAGAUCAAGAACACACUCAAGAUCUCGUUCAAGGUCACCAAGAAAACGGAGGUCUAGGUCACGGUCUGGUUCCCGAAAACGUAAACACAGAAAACGUUCACGCUCAAGAUCAAGAGAAAGGAAGCGAAAGUCAUCUCGGUCAUACUCCAGUGAAAGAAGAGCUAGGGAAAGGGAAAAAGAACGCCAGAAAAAGGGAUUGCCUCCUAUCCGGUCUAAAACACUAAGUGUGUGCAGUACUACUCUUUGGGUUGGUCAAGUAGACAAGAAGGCCACACAGCAAGAUUUAACUAAUUUGUUCGAAGAAUUUGGACAAAUAGAAUCUAUUAACAUGAUUCCUCCAAGAGGUUGUGCAUAUGUCUGCAUGGUUCACAGACAAGAUGCAUAUCGUGCUCUUCAGAAACUUAGUUCUGGAUCCUACAAGAUUGGAUCUAAAAUUAUUAAGAUUGCUUGGGCUUUAAAUAAAGGUGUGAAAACAGAGUACAAGCAAUUUUGGGAUGUGGAUCUUGGAGUUUCGUAUAUACCUUGGGAAAAAGUAAAAUUGGAUGAUUUGGAUGGCUUUGCUGAAGGAGGCAUGAUCGACCAGGAGACUGUAAAUACAGAAUGGGAAACUGUGAGGAGCUCAGAGGCUGUUAAAGAAAAUAUCCAAACUACUCAGAGUACAACUGUCGAUAAGAAUACAGCUGUUACAACACAGACAGAAGCUUAUACUCAAUCCGUAACUAUGCUACAGAUUCCGGUAGCUCCAGCUGUGCCUGCUGUUAGUUUAGUUCCACCAUCAUUUCCUGUCACAAUGUCUGUCCCGCCUCCUGGGUACAGUUCAAUUCCACCACCUCCCUUCUUGCGGGCAAGUUUCAACCCUUCACAACCACCUCCUGGUUUUAUGCCUCCCCCGGUUCCACCUGUCCCACCGCCUGUUGUUCCACCGCCUGUUGUGCCACAAGGAGUCCCAACAUCUCUAGUGCAGCCUCCUCUAUCCAUUACUCAAGAGACAAUGAAAGACGUUCCUUUUGGUAGCCUUGUUUUACCAGUUGGCACCGUUUCUAGCAGUCUAGCCACUCCAACAUUAUCAGCAGGAAGUGUUUUUAACCCUCUUCCAAGCAACAAACCAGAGUCAGAAGAAAAAGGAUCACAUCUUGCAGACGUUCAGAUUUCUUCCAGUGAAAACAACAGAUCUAUUCAAAAUGAUGUCUCAAGCAGCUCCGGACUUGCGGGUGGAGUGCAGCCACCUGGUGUCUCAAGCAGCUCCGGACGUGCAGUAGGAGUGCAGCCACCUGGUGUCUCAAGCAGCUCUGGACGUGUGGGAGGAGUGCAGCCACCCGGUGUCUCAAGCAGUUCCACACUUGCGGGAGGAGUGCAGCCACCCGGUGUCUCAAGCAGCUCCACACUUGCGGGAGGAGUGCACCCACCCGGUGUCUCAAGCAGCUCCGCACUUGUAGGAGGAGUGCAGCCACCUGGUGUCUCAAGCAGCUCUGGACUUUUGGUGGGAGUGCCGCCACCGAAUGUCUCAAGCAGCUGCGGACUUUUGGCGGGAGUGCCGCCACCGAAUGUCUCAAGCAGCUCUGGACUUAUGGCGGGAGUGCCGCCACCGAAUGUCUCAAGCAGCUCUGGACUUAUGGCGGGAGUGCCGCCACCAAACGUCUCAAGCAGCUCUGGACUUAUGGCGGGAGUGCCGCCACCAAAUGUCUCAAGUAGCUCUGGACUUUUGGCGGGAGUGCCACCACCAAAUGUCUCAAGCAGCUCUGGGCUUCUAAUAGUGCCACCACCCAAUGUCUCAAGUAGUUCUGGACUUCUGGGGAUGCAGCAUCCACCAGGGAUUCAAAACAUACCCCAUUUAAAUAUUAGUAGUCAAAGGAUGCCUGGAAUGCCUCUCUUAGAUCUCCGUCCAGGACUAAUACCCCAGUCACCUGGACCAAGAUUUCCAUUAAUACAGCCUGGAAUGCCACCACAGCGUAAUAUCCCUCCUCCAACAAUCCUUGACCCAUCCCUUCAUCCACCACCUAGAGGUCCUUUUCCUCCUCCAGGAGAUCUUUUUAACCAAACAGAGAGACAUUUUGGAACACCUGGAAGACAAAAUGUUGAUAGCAUUUCUAAUCCAGAAAAAAGGUUACCACUUGGCGGUGAUGGCAUUCAACAGGAAGGAGACCGAGACUAUCGCUUUCCGCCAGUGGAAAACAGAGAGACUCUUAAUAGGCCAUCCCCAGUCGAUGUCAGGGAUUCUAUUGGACGGCCACCAGUAGAUCCAAGAGAGGGUCUUGGAAGACCUCCAAUAGAUGGGAGAGAACAUUUUGCAAGACCGCAUAUAGAUAUGAGAGAGAAUUUUGGAAGACCAGGUGUGGAUAAUAUUGGUCGAAGAGAGCAUUUUGGUUUCAAUUCAGAAAAGCACUGGGGACAGAGAGGAGAUUAUGAUGAAAGAGAACACACUGUUUUCCCUAUCUACGGUGGUCCUAAAAGCUUCCAUGAAGAUAGAGAGAGAUUUCGGCAUGUAAAUUACAGAUUUGAUGCUAGAAGUGGUCCCAACUGGAAUAGGGGAUUUGAACAAGAUGCUCACAGAGAUUUUGAUGACCGUAGAAGACCCUGGGAAAGACAGAGGGAUAGGGAUGACAGAGAUUUUAAUUUUUGCAGAGAAAUAAAUGGAAACAGAUUUGGAAGAGACAGAAUGCAGAACAACUGGAUCCCUCCUCCACAUCCAAGGGUUUUUGAAUAUUUUGAAGGGGCCACUUCACAGCGCAAAGCUGAUAAUAUACCCCAGGUAAAUGGUGAAAAUACAGAGACAGAAAGUCAACCACCAAAUGUGCAAGUGCAGAAUGAUCCAGAACUUUAUGAAAAACUAGCAUCUUCAAGUGAGAUAAACAAAGAGAAGAGUGACACAGAAGCUGAUAUAGAAAGUGAACCAGUGGUAGAAAGCACAGAAACUGAGGGGACAUAAUCAUCACUCAGUAGACACCGUCCUAACAGAUCUAAAGUCACUUAAUGUAGAAGAAAAGGAACCAACACCAUUCUUGCAUGAGUGCUCCUGCUGUGGCCAUGUCUAAAUUAUGCGAGUGUGCCCCUCAAAACAGCUUACAAUGCAAGAUGAUGGAGGAAGUUCUGGCAGCUUACCAUGUCCCGGGCCCUGCAGAGUUAAAUGAGAAGUGCUUCAAUGUUCUAAUGUGCAUCACAUCGGAUCUUGUUUCUGAAGUGUUAGAAGGAACCCAGCAUUACAUGUUGUGCACCAGCACACUGUUUAUGAUAGAACCCAGGGAUGGCAAAUUUGUAUACCAGUAUUACCUGUCUGGAGCAGGUUUAAUUUUAUAAAUUAAAACCAUAAACUCUAUGAGUUUCUAGACGUUAUUUAUGCUUUUGAGGAUGAACUCCUCAGAUGAAGAGACAGGCUCUUCUGCAGGACCAGAAGAUCACAUUGGACUGUAAAUUGUAACUAACUCCGUUUGUAGAAUAGGAAUCGAAGGACAGGUUACAAGAAGAUCCUUCAGGGUAUGAGACUUGAUUUGCUUUGAUCUGCAAAUUUAAAGACAAGUUUUUUUUAGAAGUAACCACUUUUACUUAACACUACAUGUGCAGUCUUUGUGCAGCUCUUGACUGGUGACUAUACUCCAGAUAUGUUGGAUUCCUGAACAUACUUAGGUUUGUGAUGAACUUUUAAAUUGUCAAAGUUCCAUGAAAAUUAGAAUGGGAAAGUUCCAGGGCCAAUAUUUGACUAGACCUGUCCUGUCAUUUCCUUUUAGUGUCCAAAGGGGUUGGAAAAAGGGCAAGAAGUGGUAAUGAAACACAAAAUUACAUUGUACUCAUUUUUGAUGUAUGCACUUACCAGAAAAGUGCUUUCUGUCUCAUAAUCAAAGGGAAGGGGUACACUUGCCCUCUCUAAGCCCUCAAAUGAAAGGUCUGCAUUUAGGGUCAGACAUGUUGAUUUAGUCUGCUAACUAGCUAAAGAAAAGAAGAAACAUGUAUAUGCCCCACUGUAUGUGAAAAGGACAUUUUGUCAUUCCUCUAUUUAUUUUUGCUCUAUCAAAAUUAAAGUGCCAGUUAUUUGGAAUGCUGUAUUCUGUGGUCUCUUGAAAUUUGAUUAGUGAGAACCGUUUGGCAAGAUCAUUCUCAUUAUGGUGUAACUGCAUGGUGACCACAGCUAUGGACCUGUAUAAUAAAGAUCUAAAUUCAAA